CCUACGGGAGGCUGCAGUGGGGAAUAUUGGACAAUGGGGGGAACCCUGAUCCAGCGACGCCGCGUGAGUGAAGAAGUAUUUCGGUAUGUAAAGCUCUAUCAGCAGGGAAGAAAAUGACGGUACCUGACUAAGAAGCCCCGGCUAACUACGUGCCAGCAGCCGCGGUAAUACGUAGGGGGCAAGCGUUAUCCGGAUUUACUGGGUGUAAAGGGAGCGUAGACGGUGCAGCAAGUCUGAUGUGAAAGGUCGGGGCCCAACCCCGGGACUGCAUUGGAAACUGGCAAACUGGAGUGUGUGAGAGGAUAGUGGAAUUCCAGGUGUAGGAGUGAAAUCCGUAGAUAUCUGGAGGAACAUCAGUGGCGAAGGCGACUAUCUGGCACAUAACUGACGCUGAGGAGCGAAAGCGUGGGUAGCAAACAGGAUUAGAUACCCCGGUAGUC
RNAcentral lists this ribosomal RNA (440 nucleotides) under uncultured bacterium. RNAcentral describes it as "partial 16S ribosomal RNA". It matches the Rfam family "Bacterial small subunit ribosomal RNA", at positions 338 to 795 of the family's 1533-position model. The record is from RNAcentral.